AUGCCACGCUUUUGAAAGAUGGUUUCGGCUAUCGCUUACAGAUGGGCCCGCGGUGCAUUAGCUAGUUGGUAGGGUAAUGGCCUACCAAGGCAACGAUGCAUAGCCGACCUGAGAGGGUGAUCGGCCACACUGGGACUGAGACACGGCCCAGACUCCUACGGGAGGCAGCAGUAGGGAAUCUUCCGCAAUGGACGAAAGUCUGACGGAGCAACGCCGCGUGUAUGAAGAAGGUUUUCGGAUCGUAAAGUACUGUUGUUAGAGAAGAACAAGGAUAAGAGUAACUGCUUGUCCCUUGACGGUAUCUAACCAGAAAGCCACGGCUAACUACGUGCCAGCAGCCGCGGUAAUACGUAGGUGGCAAGCGUUGUCCGGAUUUAUUGGGCGUAAAGCGCGCGCAGGCGGUCUUUUAAGUCUGAUGUGAAAGCCCCCGGCUUAACCGGGGAGGGUCAUUGGAAACUGGAAGACUGGAGUGCAGAAGAGGAGAGUGGAAUUCCACGUGUAGCGGUGAAAUGCGUAGAUAUGUGGAGGAACACCAGUGGCGAAGGCGACUCUCUGGUCUGUAACUGACGCUGAGGCGCGAAAGCGUGGGGAGCAAACAGGAUUAGAU
This 607-nucleotide ribosomal RNA is filed under the name Listeria monocytogenes. Its description in RNAcentral is "bacterial SSU rRNA". It matches the Rfam family "Bacterial small subunit ribosomal RNA", at positions 189 to 783 of the family's 1533-position model. Lineage: Bacteria; Bacillati; Bacillota; Bacilli; Caryophanales; Listeriaceae. The record is from RNAcentral.